UCCCUGGUGGUCCAGUGGUUAAGACUCUGUACUUCCAAUGCAGGGGACACAGGUUUGAUUCCUGGUCAAGGAA
Molecule: transfer RNA, 73 nt
Filed under: Ovis aries (sheep)
Lineage: Eukaryota; Metazoa; Chordata; Mammalia; Artiodactyla; Bovidae
Rfam family: tRNA
About the family: Transfer RNA (tRNA) molecules are approximately 80 nucleotides in length.
Source: Rfam by way of RNAcentral